RNAcentral lists this microRNA precursor (57 nucleotides) under Cavia porcellus (domestic guinea pig). Its description in RNAcentral is "microRNA cpo-mir-654 precursor". Its record names the gene cpo-mir-654. It matches the Rfam family "mir-654 microRNA precursor family". The record is from miRBase by way of RNAcentral. Lineage: Eukaryota; Metazoa; Chordata; Mammalia; Rodentia; Caviidae.
AUGGUGGGCUGCGGAACAUGUGCUGGCCUCGGGCCACAUGUCUGCCGACCAUCACCU